GCAGGAAUCUAAAAGAACUCAGCAAGAAUGCAUCUUAUUGUGAGAAGAAGAGGGAGACGUAAAUGUUGGGGUUGCACCUUUACAUAUCCUGUUCUCAUGGCUGCUAUAUUCUCUUGUAUCAGUACUUUUCAGAUUGUCAGUUUCCAAGUUAUGACAAGGAGCAUAUUGACGAAGUAAGAACUGAGUGGGUGCGCCAUGUUGUUCAACAAAUUGUAUAAUCGCUAGGUUACGUUGAAUGAACCAACAAACAUACAACUUUAUUAAUUAAUGUAU
This is a long non-coding RNA of Spinacia oleracea (spinach), 273 nucleotides long. RefSeq lists it as uncharacterized. The transcript is spliced from 3 exons. Lineage: Eukaryota; Viridiplantae; Streptophyta; Magnoliopsida; Caryophyllales; Amaranthaceae. The record is from RefSeq and is a predicted model, not a curated record.